CUUGAACUGACUGCGAGUAGUAUUUGGUGCUACCACCGUUAUCAUUCCAGGCAAUCCACUCCAGUCCUUUUCCAGGAGCCUGUCUGAUCCAGGCCAUAUAGUAGCUACUGAAUGACAAUCCAGAUGUUGUACAGGUCAAUCUGUGGGAUUCUCCAGGUCUUUUAACUGCCGGUUCAGAUU
Molecule: long non-coding RNA, 180 nt
Organism: Etheostoma spectabile (orangethroat darter)
Lineage: Eukaryota; Metazoa; Chordata; Actinopteri; Perciformes; Percidae
Exons: 3
Source: RefSeq, a predicted model, not a curated record